GCAGAGGUGGCGGAGCAUGGUUUAACGCGCAGGACUGCUAAUCCUGUUCCUUCGGGAGCUCGGGUUCAAAUCCCGACCUCUGCG
This 84-nucleotide transfer RNA is filed under the name Candidatus Altarchaeales archaeon. RNAcentral's name for it is "tRNA-Ser". It matches the Rfam family "tRNA". From Rfam's summary of the family: Transfer RNA (tRNA) molecules are approximately 80 nucleotides in length. Their secondary structure includes four short double-helical elements and three loops (D, anti-codon, and T loops). Lineage: Archaea; Nanobdellati; Candidatus Altarchaeota; Candidatus Altarchaeia; Candidatus Altarchaeales. The record is from RNAcentral.